CGUGAGGGAUGACGGCCUUCGGGUUGUAAACCUCAUUCAGUAGGGAAGAGGGCCUUCGGGUUGACGGUACCUGCAGAAGAAGCGCCGGCUAACUACGUGCCAGCAGCCGCGGUAAUACGUAGGGCGCAAGCGUUGUCCGGAAUUAUUGGGCGUAGAGAGCUCGUAGGCGGUUUGUCGCGUCUGCUGUGAAAACGCGAGGCUUAACCUCGCGCCUGCAGUGGGUACGGGCAGACUAGAGUGCGGUAGGGGAGACUGGAGUCCCUGGUGUAGCGGUGGAAUGCGCAGAUAUCAGGAGGAACACCGGUGGCGAAGGCGGGUCUCUGGGCCGUUACUGACGCUGAGGAGCGAAAGCAUGGGGAGCGAACAGGAUUAGAUACCCUGGUAGUCCAUGCCGUAAACGUUGGGCACUAGGUGUGGGACCCAUUCCACGGGUUCCGUGCCGCAGCUAACGCAUUAAGUGCCCCGCCUGGGGAGUACGGCCGCAAGGCUAAAACUCAAAGGAAUUGACGGGGGCCCGCACAAGCGGCGGAGCAUGCGGAUUAAUUCGAUGCAACGCGAAGAACCUUACCAAGGCUUGACAUACACCGGAAACAUCCAGAGAUGGGUGCCCCGCAAGGUCGGUGUACAGGUGGUGCAUGGUCGUCGUCAGCUCGUGUCGUGAGAUGUUGGGUUAAGUCCCGCAACGAGCGCAACCCUUGUCCUGUGUUGCCAGCGGGUUAUGCCGGGGACUCAUGGGAGACUGCCGGGGUCAACUCGGAGGAAGGUGGGGAUGACGUCAAAUCAUCAUGCCCCUUAUGUCUUGGGCUUCACGCAUGCUACAAUGGCCGGUACAAAGGGUUGCGAUGCCGCGAGGUGGAGCGAAUCCCAAAAAGCCGGUCUCAGUUCGGAUUGGGGUCUGCAACUCGACCCCAUGAAGUCGGAGUCGCUAGUAAUCGCAGAUCAGCAACGCUGCGGUGAAUACGUUCUCGGGCCUUGUACACACCGCCCGUCACGUCACGAAAGUCGGUAACACCCGAAGCCGGUGGCCCAACCUCCUGUAGGGGGGAGCCGUCGAAGGUGGGACUGGCGAUUGGGACG
RNAcentral lists this ribosomal RNA (1077 nucleotides) under uncultured bacterium. RNAcentral describes it as "bacterial SSU rRNA". It matches the Rfam family "Bacterial small subunit ribosomal RNA", at positions 400 to 1482 of the family's 1533-position model. The record is from RNAcentral.